GAUGAACGCUGGCGGCGUGCCUAAUACAUGCCAGUCGAGCGAACAGACGAGGAGCUUGCUCCUCUGACGUUAGCGGCGGACGGGUGAGUAACACGUGGAUAACCUACCUAUAAGACUGGGAUAACUUCGGGAAACCGGAGCUAAUACCGGAUAAUAUAUUGAACCGCAUGGUUCAAUAGUGAAAGACGGUUUUGCUGUCACUUAUAGAUGGAUCCGCGCCGCAUUAGCUAGUUGGUAAGGUAACGGCUUACCAAGGCAACGAUGCGUAGCCGACCUGAGAGGGUGAUCGGCCACACUGGAACUGAGCCACGGUCCAGACUCCUACGGGAGGCAGCAGUAGGGAAUCUUCCGCAAUGGGCGAAAGCCUGACGGAGCAACGCCGCGUGAGUGAUGAAGGUCUUCGGAUCGUAAAACUCUGUUAUUAGGGAAGAACAAAUGUGUAAGUAACUAUGCACGUCUUGACGGUACCUAAUCAGAAAGCCACGGCUAACUACGUG
Molecule: ribosomal RNA, 497 nt
Filed under: uncultured bacterium
Lineage: Bacteria
Description: partial 16S ribosomal RNA
Rfam family: Bacterial small subunit ribosomal RNA
Source: RNAcentral